UCUAACCUGAACCUCCCCUGGCACAACUUGAGGCCAUCACCUCUCAUCCUAUCACUGGCUGAGGCUGAUUUACUGAAUGCUUGGGCUCUGAUUCACACCUUAUUCAGGCUCAUGGAAACCUGGAGGAAUUUCUGUAGAGUCAACCCUGACACAAUUAAUGGAAAACCUGAGUGAAGUCAGACCCUGGGGGUUAUUUUUUGGGCCUAGAUGAUGCUUCACCCUCCUGGAUUCUGGGACUGGGAGGUUCAUGUUCCCUAAGCUACAGCCUUCUGGAUGUUCAUAAGGCUGCUGUUCAUUUGCUGCAGAAUGAAGUACUGUAGGUAAAGAUUUGCAUUUCCAUUGGUAGCCCCAGCUGCAGCCUCAUGUCUUCCUUGCUGCUUUGCAAAUAGCUUGGAGUGAGCCUGCUGCCGCAGGAGCAGAGAAGGAUGUGAUCCAUUUUCUUUGCUUUUCAAGUCCUGUGGUCCCCUUCUUCAAGCCUCUGACAUCCCCCCGUUUAUUGUAAUCAGCACGACAAAAGGGAAGUCGUUCCUUUAUUGGAGGUUAUCCGUGUCAGGGGAAGUUAUGUUCCCAUCGCUACCUGGGGGCCCAUCAGCAGAUAAAGAUGGAGAGCAGUGACUCAGAAUGACUUUGAAGCAACACCCAGCAGCAACUGAAGACAAGAACAUAACCUUAGCUGACGUUUAAUAUAACCCGAUACACAAAUAAAGCCAUUCCACUAAAUUAUGCAUCCUUUUACUCUUGGCUGUUGUUAAAGGAAGGGGACAGGGUGAGUGUUCUCUCCGUGUGUUUCUUCCUUUCCAGUGUCGGGAGCUGAGUGACAGAUGCAUGCUGAUGGAGCACAGCACAUUGAUUUUUGCUGCUGCAGUACUUUAUGCUCAAAGAAAUACAGCUUUUACAACGAUGGAGGACCCCUAUUCAGAGAAAACAGACUUCUUCACCUCCCAGAGACAAACAUCCCUGAAGAACCCUUUGAGCAUUUCCCUCAGCUGAAGAGAAGGGAUGUCUGAUUGUCAUUGUCCCAUCCAAAUGCCUGCACAAUUAGCUGCAAAACAUUUUGGUAUCUAAGGGCAGAACAGCCAAGGGAAAAAAUGCUCUCUAGACCUUGAAAGGUGCAUUGUCCUCUGACAAUGGAAAUCUGUAGCCGUAGGUCUUGUGGUAUUUAGAAAUCAGUAGAUUUACUAAUUAACAUUGCUCACUCAAUUAAAAAGCCCUUGAUCUGAGCCUGCCGAUAGGUUUUUGGUAUCCAUAAAAAUCUCUGCCUUGUGUUAGAAGAUUUAGCAAUUUCUUUCUUUACUUUUAGACCAAGGCUCAGUGGGAUGAGACACGGGUCAACAAAACAAGCUUUGGUGCUCCACUGGGCUGGCUGCAGAGGCUGUCCUGGGCUGCAGCUGGGAAGGGACUUAACUGCAAUAAUAUACUAGGCUGGGUAAUUACUGGAUUAAGGGUGGGUGGUGUAGUGCUGGGGGAUGGCACUGACUGAAGAUAAAGUCUUGUAAGAAGAAGGCAGUAGGGCCAGAGGAAGAGUGGCAAAGUCAUUCAUGAUGCCUCUUUAUGAAAGGUCCCACAGCUUGUGAAAUGAGGCAGAUGCAAGCUAGGUUUUACUUUAUUCUAUUAGGGCUAUAUCCAAGGCUUUUGUAUUUCACCUUGUAACAGGGUAAAGACCAUCAGUGCUACACUGCCUUUCUUUCACCUCUUGCUAUAAAUACAUGCUUGUGAGAAGGCUCUUCACAGCCCACUUUGUUUGCAUGUUAAUUAUUUUAUCUGUCUGGCACUUUUCAUCUGUUGAGUCUGUUGUUGUUUUCCAGUGGUAAAUUCAAGCUGAGCAUCACCAGGAACUGGUCUUCAUAAGUUUUAUGUGGGAAAUUCAAAUAUAGUUUUCUCCGCGAGAAAAAACCCGCGAGAAGUGAAAGACUAGAAAAAGACAUUUUAUCCUAAGAUCAUAAGCACAGCAUGAAGCAAAGAUCUCUUGAGUUGACAUAAGUCCAGAUCUUUGCAGCAUUAAGGCUUAUUUCAGGGAAUUUCUUAAGGAGUUGAGGCCCAUAUAUGCCCCCCAUUUAGAAAUCUUUUUUCUCUUGCAAGGUUCGCUAUCACGCUGAAGUCAUGAGCCAUAAUAAAAUCUCCGAUCAUGCUCCUUUUUUU
Coturnix japonica (Japanese quail) is the source of this 2139-nucleotide long non-coding RNA. RefSeq lists it as uncharacterized. The record is from RefSeq and is a predicted model, not a curated record. Lineage: Eukaryota; Metazoa; Chordata; Aves; Galliformes; Phasianidae.